GACGAACGCUGGCGGCGUGCCUAAUACAUGCAAGUCGAGCGCUGAAGCUUUGUACUUGUGCCGUCUGGAUGAGCAGCGCACGGGUGAGUAACGCGUGGGGCAUCUGCCUUUGAGUGGGGGACAACAUGUGGAAACGAAUGCUAAUACCGCAUAAAAACUUUAAACACAAGUUUUAAGUUUGAAAGAUGCAAUUGCAUCACUCAAAGAUGAUCUCGCGGUGUGUUAGCUAGUUGGUGAGGUAAAGGCUCACCAAGGGGAAGUAACAUAGCCGACCUGAGAGGGGGGUCGGCCACAUUGGGACUGAGACACGGCACAAGCUCCCUAGGGAAGGAGCAGGAGGGCAACUUCGGCCAUGGGCGGAAGUCUGACCGAACAACGCCGCGGGAGUGAAGAAGGGUUUCGGGUCGUAAAAGUCUGUUGGUGGGGAAGAACGUGGGUGAGAGUGGAAAGCACAUCGAGUGACGGUAACUACCCAGAAAGCAACGGCUAACUACGUG
This 497-nucleotide ribosomal RNA is filed under the name uncultured bacterium. Its description in RNAcentral is "partial 16S ribosomal RNA". It matches the Rfam family "Bacterial small subunit ribosomal RNA", at positions 28 to 507 of the family's 1533-position model. The record is from RNAcentral.